CUUCAUUGAAAACCAUCUCAAGCUUUGGCUAUGGCUGAAUGUGAGAUUCGCUGCCCUGGGCCACAGGAACCUCAGCUCACUGUCUGCUGCCCCAGUGUGGGAGGAUGAAACCCAGGCCCCUACAUUU
Small nucleolar RNA from Cricetulus griseus (Chinese hamster), 127 nucleotides. Ensembl annotates it as small nucleolar RNA ACA64. The record is from Ensembl. NCBI's taxonomy places the organism in Eukaryota, Metazoa, Chordata, Mammalia, Rodentia, Cricetidae.